UCAUCAAGAGGGAGAGAACGAGAAAGAAAGAGGGGGAGAGGGUGUGGGAGAAGAAGAAAGAGAGAUAGAAAGACAAAUCUGGGAACUCCAACAAAAAUUAUUUUCAUUACGAAAUAAUGAUAAUAAUUCUUCUUCUUCUUCUUCUUCUCUUUCUCUUUCUACUUCUUCUUCUUUCUCUCGUUGUACACCACACCAAACGAGAAAUAUUUCUUUUCCUCAUCUCUCUUUUGAUGUUCGGCAUUUAUUUCUUAUUGGUUCUCCAGUUGGAGUAUUCAUGACAGUUCAAGGACUUACUCUCUCUCCGCCGCUUCCUUCUUCUCUUUCUUCCACUCCUUCUCAUCCUCUCGCUCCUUCUCUCUCUAAUCCUG
This 368-nucleotide non-coding RNA is filed under the name Paramoeba aestuarina. Lineage: Eukaryota; Discosea; Flabellinia; Dactylopodida; Paramoebidae. The record is from RNAcentral.